RNAcentral lists this ribosomal RNA (818 nucleotides) under Alexandrium andersonii. Its description in RNAcentral is "partial Bacterial small subunit ribosomal RNA". It matches the Rfam family "Bacterial small subunit ribosomal RNA", at positions 660 to 1523 of the family's 1533-position model. The record is from RNAcentral. Lineage: Eukaryota; Dinophyceae; Gonyaulacales; Pyrocystaceae.
GUAUGAAUGUUAAUUGUAAUAGUGAAAUGUGUAUAUAAUUGGUGUUAAAUCUAUUUGAUAUUGGUAGCUUGAAAAGGUAGAUAUUCUAUUCACUAGAGCUUGAGGAGUGACUGCGAUUCGAUACCGUAUUAAUUCAAGUGAUAAACUAUGGCUUAUUGUAGAUUGGAUCUAUUUUUAACAAAUGAAGGUUCUUAACCUAAGGAGUACGCUUUCAGAAGUGAAACUUAAAUGUUCUGGUGGUGGUUUAGAACAAUAGUGGAAUAGAUGAUUUAAUUCGAUGUUAUGCGAUAAAGCUUUUCAGGUAUCUUUAAGAAUACCUAGGUAUAGGUAGAAUUCUAUUAUAGGUAGUGCAUGGCUGUUGGAAUAUCAUGUUUUGUAAUAUCUGGUUUCGGACAGGAAUAGCCGAUACACAUUUGGUUGAAAAAUAUAGAAAUGACCUGCAAUUGCAGGUCAUUAUCAGGUCGUACAAGGUCAUUCUAGGUUCAUAAAGGUUCAAAGAUAGAAUAACGUCGAGUCAUUAUGCUCUUUUGUUCGGAGAUAUUCAUGUGUUACAAGGAGAGCUAUAUAGCUACUUAUUUUUCAGUAAAUCAAAUGUUAUCAUCCGGCAUUGAAAAUUGAAAUGUUUUUAUAAAGGAGGAAUUAUUAGGAAUCUUUGGUUAGUUAUUUAAAGGUGGACAGGAGAUAAAUUUUGCACAUACCGCCCGUCAAGCAAAAAGCAGAGAUGUAGAUGAAAACAGACCGGCACAUGGCUGUGAAAUAACGUGCUAAUUUGUGUUAAGUCGAAACAUGGUAGCUCAUCUGGAAUGAUGAGCUGGAUU